CCUACGGGAGGCAGCAGUGAGGAAUAUUGGUCAAUGGACGAGAGUCUGAACCAGCCAAGUAGCGUGAAGGAUGACUGCCCUAUGGGUUGUAAACUUCUUUUAUAAAGGAAUAAAACGAGGCACGUGUGCCUUUUUGCAUGUACUUUAUGAAUAAGGAUCGGCUAACUCCGUGCCAGCAGCCGCGGUAAUACGGAGGAUCCGAGCGUUAUCCGGAUUUAUUGGGUUUAAAGGGAGCGUAGAUGGGUUGUUAAGUCAGUUGUGAAAGUUUGCGGCUCAACCGUAAAAUUGCAAUUGAUACUGGCAGUCUUGAGUACAGUUGAGGUAGGCGGAAUGCGUGGUGUAGCGGUGAAAUGCUGAGAUAUCACGAAGAACCCCGAUUGCGAAGGCAGCUUACUAAACUGUGACUGACAUUGAUGCUCGAAAGUGUGGGUAUCGAACAGGAUUAGAUACCCUUGUAGUC
RNAcentral lists this ribosomal RNA (460 nucleotides) under uncultured bacterium. RNAcentral's name for it is "partial 16S ribosomal RNA". It matches the Rfam family "Bacterial small subunit ribosomal RNA", at positions 338 to 795 of the family's 1533-position model. The record is from RNAcentral.